GUCGCUAGGUUUACCAUAACCUAGACCUCGCAGAACCUCAGGGGCACUAAAGUGGCAACCAUUCAUACCGUUACCGUCUACUCGCUCUGUAAAAUACAUCAAAACAAGAGAUGAACAAAGUUACCUUUUAAUUAGCGUCCGGUCAUCGGUUAAUGUAUUACGUAUACAACCCCAGAGGUGCAAGAAGGCUAGCGUUUAAUCCCUUUGCACAUAAUACGUCUGGCCUUUCAAGGAUCACCGAGCUUCUCCUUUGAAGCCUUUCUCUGAGCCCUUCUACUGGUUUAGACCCUGCGGGCGGCUGCCAAUAUUCCUAUCCCGUUUCCAUGUGUUGACGUUUUACUGCCCCUGUUUACUGCAUCCUUCAGCACCUUGCCAUUCAACUUCCGGAAUUUAGUGGCCAUUUAUCGGAGGAUUUUCGGGUGGCUGGUUAGCAAGUGCUCCACAAUUUCGUCAACUUGUCGUCAAGAUUUCAAUCUUUUUGGUACAAGAAAACGAAAACUUAUGGAUCAGUCACCCAGUUCUUUCUGACGUUCAGUGUUUCUCCAUACUUCCCGCAAAGCGA
Molecule: long non-coding RNA, 562 nt
Organism: Varroa destructor (honeybee mite)
Lineage: Eukaryota; Metazoa; Arthropoda; Arachnida; Mesostigmata; Varroidae
Source: RefSeq, a predicted model, not a curated record